CACGGAGGAGGCAAGCGUUAUCCGGAAUUAUUGGGCGUAAAGCGUCCGUAGGUGGUUUAGUAAGUCUGCUGUUAAAGCGCGGGGCUUAACUCCGUAUCGGCAGUGGAAACUACUAGACUAGAGUGUGGUAGGGGUAGAGGGAAUUCCCAGUGUAGCGGUGAAAUGCGUAGAUAUUGGGAAGAACACCGGUGGCGAAGGCGCUCUACUGGGCCAUAACUGACACUGAUGGACGAAAGCUAGGGGAGCGAAAGGG
RNAcentral lists this ribosomal RNA (253 nucleotides) under uncultured bacterium. RNAcentral's name for it is "partial 16S ribosomal RNA". It matches the Rfam family "Bacterial small subunit ribosomal RNA", at positions 524 to 776 of the family's 1533-position model. The record is from RNAcentral.